GGACAUGUAGCUUAGUUGGUAAAGCGACUGGUUGAAGCCCAGUAGUCGUGAGUUCGAUUCUCAACUUGUCCAC
RNAcentral lists this transfer RNA (73 nucleotides) under Streptomyces phage Coruscant. RNAcentral's name for it is "tRNA-Phe". It matches the Rfam family "tRNA". From Rfam's summary of the family: Transfer RNA (tRNA) molecules are approximately 80 nucleotides in length. Their secondary structure includes four short double-helical elements and three loops (D, anti-codon, and T loops). Further hydrogen bonds mediate the characteristic L-shaped molecular structure. tRNAs have two regions of fundamental functional importance: the anti-codon, which is responsible for specific mRNA codon recognition, and the 3' end, to which the tRNAs corresponding amino acid is attached (by aminoacyl-tRNA synthetases). tRNAs cope with the degeneracy of the genetic code in two manners: having more than one tRNA (with a specific anti-codon) for a particular amino acid; and 'wobble' base-pairing, i.e. permitting non-standard base-pairing at the 3rd anti-codon position. The record is from RNAcentral. Lineage: Duplodnaviria; Heunggongvirae; Uroviricota; Caudoviricetes; Stanwilliamsviridae.